CCUUCAAGGAUCCCCCAGUCUGGUGUGAAGCAGUCACCUGAACAGUUAGGAUACAAUUUGGCCUGAUGGAGGUGCCCACAAGGGAUAUAGGAAAGGGGGAACCAGGUUCUGCUCAGGCGGGGUCAGAAAGCGCUUUCUGGGAGACAUGAGUCUAAGGGUCCUGAAGGGUAACUAGGAGUUAGCAAAGGCAGGGUUGGUGAGGGCAUGCUGGGCAGAGGGGCAGCAGGAGCCAGCUGGUGGAGGUGAGAAGCGACAGGCAGUUUGGUGUUGCUGGAGCCUUGAUGAGAGGCAGUGGGCACCAGCAGAGGCUGGAGAGGGGCUCAAGGGCCUAUGACAGAGGUUUGAUGUCUUUACCUGGGGGUGGGAGUGGGACUGGGGCAGAUUUGGGUGGUUAAGCAGAGAAUUGACAUGGUUAGAUUUUAGCUAAAUAGCUCUGCCUGCUGUGUGGACUGUGGGUGGGGGCAGAAUCUGUCUUUUUUUGGGGGGGGGCGUGUUGUGCUGCGUGGCUUGCAGGAUCUUAGUUCCCCGAACUGGGCCCUUGGCAGUAAAAACAUGGAGUCCUAACCACUGGACUGCCAAGGAAUUCCCAGAAUCUCUUUUCACAAGAUCUCUUGGGAUUGGGCUGAAUGCCCAGCCCAGGGCCUGCAGGUGUACAAGAUGGCCUUGGGAAUAAUCAUCCCAGCCCAGUCUUAGUGAGUGCUGCCACAAGCCGGGCAGUGUUCUAUGUGCUCCAAGUAGAGUAACUACUUCACCCUCCCGAGAACCCUGUGAUGAGGAUGGUAUUCUUAUCACCCCCCACUAUGCCCACGAGGUGACUGGGCACAGAGAGGUUAACUUAUGUGUCCCAGCUGCACAUUCCAGUGCAGGCUGCCUGGCUCCAGGAUCAGCCUGUAAUCACUCUCUAUCUUGCCUCCUCCGGGUCCACUGUCCUCUGGAAGGCUCUCACAGAGGCAGAAUAUUGUAUUGGCAUCCUGCUUCAAGUUUAUGAAAUCUUUCACAUGAAUGACCUCAUUCCACCAUGCAACAGUAGCUUCUGUGAGUAGGUAUUAUUACUCAUAGCUAAGAAAACCAACCAAAGUGAUUUGUUAAAGGUUAGGAUUUAGGUGGCAGAGACCCAGACGUGUGUCUUCUGACCCCGAGUCUAGUGUCGGGUCUCACGUUCAUUGUCAGUUGAUGCCGCGGUCAGCCUCCCGGUCAGCCUCCCGGUCAACAUGCCAUGUGGUUCAAAGGCCAGGGCAUUUUCCACUCCUACCCAACUGUCUCCUGUCGAGGAAAAUGUUUUUCUGAACUGGGUAAGAGAGUCAUAGAGAAGUGUGUUGCUGGCAUCAAUUCCCUCUGAUUGGGCAAUAGCUUCCGCCAUCUGGACCAGGUGACGUCAGCCGUCUGGAUUUCCGCCAGUGUUCUCCCACCCAGGAAACUGACUUCCGGCCAGGCUCCCAGCCGUCUCUGGCCUCCUCGAAAGGCAGACCUUUCAGUUUGCAAGAGACGACGUUACUGCCAGGUGUGUGACCUGAUCCUACAGAGCACAGAAAGCACGGUCUCCAGUCCCAGUCGGGAUCAGGGACAUCAACUCACUGCACACAAGCAGAACUCGUUCAUUUGGCACAUCCUGAAUGAGGCCAAAAGCUGUGCUCCAGAUGGGCAAGAGCCUGAAUGAGAAGCACCUCAAGAAAAUCGCCUGCCUGGAGCCUCAUUCUGAGUAGUUGAAUGUUCUAUCCUCUGCGGUGGGUUGGCCUGGGAGCAGGGGAGUCUUCGGGGCUGGGAGAGAAUGGGAGAGGUGGCCUUGUUCGUUAGACUCUUCUUCUGACACAUAAACAGCCAAUUGGAGGAGUUGUCCCAACCCCGUGGUUCUGAGCUCUGAAGUGGUUUUUACUUAUAAUAGCAGCAAUGCCCAGGCUCAUGCCAGUGGGAAAAUAGCCUGGAAUCUAGGAGCCUCAGAUUUUUUUUUUCAGAUUCCCUCAAAUGUCUCAUAUCCUUUUUAUGAGUUUACUUUUUCUGAAUCAGGAUUAAAAUAAAGUCCAUACAUUAUAUUGGUCGA
Aethalodelphis obliquidens (Pacific white-sided dolphin) is the source of this 2038-nucleotide long non-coding RNA. RefSeq lists it as uncharacterized. NCBI's taxonomy places the organism in Eukaryota, Metazoa, Chordata, Mammalia, Artiodactyla, Delphinidae. The transcript has 3 exons. The record is from RefSeq and is a predicted model, not a curated record.